AAACCAACAGGGAUUGCCCCAGUAGCGGCGAGUGAAGCGGCAAGAGCUCAGAUUUGAAAUCGUGUUUCGGCACGAGUUGUAGAGUGUAGGCGGGAGUGUCUGCGGCGGGCAGUGUCCAAGUCCCUUGGAACAGGGCGCCACUGAGGGUGAGAGCCCCGUGGGAUGCUGCGCAAAGCUUUGAGACCCUGCUGACGAGUCGAGUUGUUUGGGAAUGCAGCUCCAAGCGGGUGGUAAAUUCCAUCUAAGGCUAAAUACUGGCGAGAGACCGAUAGCGAACAAGUACUGUGAAGGAAAGAUGAAAAGCACUUUGAAAAGAGAGUGAAACAGCACGUGAAAUUGUUGAAAGGGAAGGGUAUUGGGCCCGACAUGGGGAGUGCGCACCGUUGCCUCUUGUAGGCGGCGCUCUGGGCGCUCUGGGCGCUCUCUGGGCCAGCAUCGGUUCUUGCUGCAGGAGAAGGGGUGCCGGAACGUGGCUCUUCGGAGUGUUACAGCCGGGGCCAGAUGCUGCGUGCGGGGACCGAGGGCUGCGACAUAUGUCUCGGAUGCUGGCACAACGGCGCAAUACC
This 566-nucleotide ribosomal RNA is filed under the name Pichia thaimueangensis. RNAcentral's name for it is "eukaryotic LSU rRNA". It matches the Rfam family "Eukaryotic large subunit ribosomal RNA", at positions 62 to 646 of the family's 3401-position model. The record is from RNAcentral. Lineage: Eukaryota; Fungi; Ascomycota; Pichiomycetes; Pichiales; Pichiaceae.